This 624-nucleotide ribosomal RNA is filed under the name uncultured Parvimonas sp. Its description in RNAcentral is "bacterial SSU rRNA". It matches the Rfam family "Bacterial small subunit ribosomal RNA", at positions 28 to 651 of the family's 1533-position model. The record is from RNAcentral. Lineage: Bacteria; Bacillati; Bacillota; Tissierellia; Tissierellales; Peptoniphilaceae.
GACGAACGCUGGCGGCGUGCUUAACACAUGCAAGUCGAACGUGAUUUUUGUGGAAAUUCUUUCGGGAAUGGAAAUGAAAUGAAAGUGGCGAACGGGUGAGUAACACGUGAGCAACCUACCUUACACAGGGGGAUAGCCGUUGGAAACGACGAUUAAUACCGCAUGAGACCACAGAAUCGCAUGAUAUAGGGGUCAAAGAUUUAUCGGUGUAAGAAGGGCUCGCGUCUGAUUAGCUAGUUGGAAGGGUAAAGGCCUACCAAGGCGACGAUCAGUAGCCGGUCUGAGAGGAUGAACGGCCACAUUGGAACUGAGACACGGUCCAAACUCCUACGGGAGGCAGCAGUGGGGAAUAUUGCACAAUGGGGGGAACCCUGAUGCAGCGACGCCGCGUGAGCGAAGAAGGUUUUCGAAUCGUAAAGCUCUGUCCUAUGAGAAGAUAAUGACGGUAUCAUAGGAGGAAGCCCCGGCUAAAUACGUGCCAGCAGCCCGCGGUAAUACGUAUGGGGCGAGCGUUGUCCCGGAAUUAUUGGGCGUAAAGGGUACAUAGGCGGUUUUUUUAAGUCGGGUGUGAAAGCGCGAGGCUUAACCUCAUUAAGCACUUGAAACUGGAAGACUUGAGUGAAC